This 496-nucleotide ribosomal RNA is filed under the name uncultured Chryseobacterium sp. Its description in RNAcentral is "partial 16S ribosomal RNA". The record is from RNAcentral. Lineage: Bacteria; Pseudomonadati; Bacteroidota; Flavobacteriia; Flavobacteriales; Weeksellaceae.
CACGGAGUUAGCCGGUGCUUAUUCAUACUGUACCUUCAGCUACCCUCACGAGAGUAGGUUUAUCCCAGUAUAAAAGAAGUUUACAAUCCAUAGAACCGUCGUCCUUCACGCGGGAUGGCUGGAUCAGGCUCGCACCCAUUGUCCAAUAUUCCUCACUGCUGCCUCCCGUAGGAGUCUGGUCCGUGUCUCAGUACCAGUGUGGGGGAUCACCCUCUCAGGCCCCCUAAAGAUCACUGACUUGGUGAGCCGUUACCUCACCAACUAUCUAAUCUUGCGCGUGCCCAUCUCUAUCCACCGGAGUUUUCAAUAUCUAAUGAUGCCAUCAGAUAUAUUAAUGGGGUAUUAAUCUUCCUUUCGAAAGGCUAUCCCCCUGAUAAAGGCAGGUUGCACACGUGUUCCGCACCCGUACGCCGCUCUCUCUGUCCCGAAAGACAAAUACCGCUCGGCUUGCAUGUGUUAGGCCUCCGCUAGCGUUCAUCCUGAGCCAGGAUCUAAA